Molecule: non-coding RNA, 58 nt
Organism: Aedes albopictus (Asian tiger mosquito)
Lineage: Eukaryota; Metazoa; Arthropoda; Insecta; Diptera; Culicidae
Source: Rfam
UAGCCAAGUGGUUAAGGCUAUGGAUUGCCAAUCCGGAGACGGCGGGUUCGAUUCCCGU